GAAUAACAGGGUAAGACCUGAAUACCAGCAUAGUUCAUUAUUCCUAAACAAAAUAAGAAGUAACCUUCUCUUGGGUUAAGGCUUGAGACAGUCCAUAGCCAGAUCUAAGAAGCAAUUUCGGCAAAUAACUUCAACAGCAGACAGAUUAGAUUUCACAUCAUCACUACUACAACUUUUAGAGAAGAGAUCAAAACCCUAUUUAGCAACUACAAACUAUCGUAUUCCACCUAAAUCUUGGGUUAAAACUCACAGCAGAUCCUCCUGUAGAGACAAAAGAAAGAAAGGAACACCGAACCAAGCUAAACCAAAUAAAUCGCAGAAACCCAGAAAGCAAAAACAGCUAUAGCAAAUCAUCUACAGAGACAACUUUACCAAGAUUAGUAAGUAACAGAUGCUACUCAAGCAAAACAGAAAGAAAUUGAGAUAUAGAAGAAAAGAAAGAAAACACACAGUGCUCCUCCUCUGUUCAGCAGCAACAGCAAGAGCAAAAGCAAUCAGAUCAAGCACAAACACCGCCACCAGCAGCAAAACUGAAGCCAUAUAUAUAUAUAUAUAUAAUGUUAAAACCAAAAUCAAAUCAAAUCAACAGAAAAGACCCAAAAAUAGUUGGUUUCUAUACGUGCUUCUUCCACAAACACAGAAGAACUUGGAGAGGCAAGAAGCGUUAGAUAAUAACAAGCACGAAUGAAACUGGUGGAAAAUUUAAGGAUAAAUAAAUAAAUGAAUAACAUUGUGGGUCAAUUAAAGAUAAAUAAUUACGUACAAGUUCAGGCUUUAAUAUAAUAUAAUAUGCAUAUUAUUAAUUGGGUAGUUUUUUACGUCUCGAGAAAGUUAAUAAUAAAU
RNAcentral lists this long non-coding RNA (843 nucleotides) under Carica papaya (papaya). RNAcentral's name for it is "long non-coding RNA (CPAP_LNC000865)". Lineage: Eukaryota; Viridiplantae; Streptophyta; Magnoliopsida; Brassicales; Caricaceae. The record is from RNAcentral.